UUGCGCCUGCUUUGUUGGUGAUAGGGUAAAGGGUCGAUCCGCAACUCCUGGAAAAGGGAGUUUAUGUAAGGUGGUGCAUGAGCGCUCCUUAAUAGGAAGACGCCUAAGCCCACCUUCUAAACACCCACUUGUUGGUAGGGAUGUACCUCUUUUCCUACACCGCAAAGCGGGUGCUUU
RNAcentral lists this non-coding RNA (177 nucleotides) under Nitrospirota bacterium. RNAcentral describes it as "Nitrospirae bacterium 6S RNA". It matches the Rfam family "6S / SsrS RNA". Rfam says of the family: E. coli 6S RNA was the first non coding RNA to be sequenced, but its function was unknown until recently. The record is from RNAcentral. Lineage: Bacteria; Pseudomonadati; Nitrospirota.